CUGAGUUUGAUCCCUGGCUCAGAUUGAACGCUGGCGGCAGGCCUAACAYAUGCAAGUCGAGCGGUAACAGANAGUAGCUUGCUACUUUGCUGACGAGCGGCGGACGGGUGAGUAAUGCUUGGGAACAUGCCUUGAGGUGGGGGACAACAGUUGGAAACGACUGCUAAUACCGCAUAAUGUCUACGGACCAAAGGGGGCUUCGGCUCUCGCCUUUAGAUUGGCCCAAGUGGGAUUAGCUAGUUGGUGAGGUAAUGGCUCACCAAGGCAACGAUCCCUAGCUGGUUUGAGAGGAUGAUCAGCCACACUGGGACUGAGACACGGCCCAGACUCCUACGGGAGGCAGCAGUGGGGAAUAUUGCACAAUGGGCGCAAGCCUGAUGCAGCCAUGCCGCGUGUGUGAAGACAGGCCUUCGGGUUGUAAAGCACUUUCAGUCAGGAGGAAAGGUUAGUAGUUAAUACCUGCUAGCUGUGACGUUACUGACAGAAGAAGCACCGGC
This 497-nucleotide ribosomal RNA is filed under the name Pseudoalteromonas sp. Gbf-Chit-4.2. RNAcentral's name for it is "bacterial SSU rRNA". It matches the Rfam family "Bacterial small subunit ribosomal RNA", at positions 1 to 497 of the family's 1533-position model. Lineage: Bacteria; Pseudomonadati; Pseudomonadota; Gammaproteobacteria; Alteromonadales; Pseudoalteromonadaceae. The record is from RNAcentral.